RNAcentral lists this ribosomal RNA (466 nucleotides) under uncultured bacterium. Its description in RNAcentral is "partial 16S ribosomal RNA". It matches the Rfam family "Bacterial small subunit ribosomal RNA", at positions 28 to 507 of the family's 1533-position model. The record is from RNAcentral.
GAUGAACGCUGGCGGCGUGCUUAACACAUGCAAGUCGAACGAUGAAGCCCAGCUUGCUGGGUGGAUUAGUGGCGAACGGGUGAGUAACACGUGAGUAACCUGCCCUUAACUCUGGGAUAAGCCUGGGAAACUGGGUCUAAUACCGGAUAGGAGCGUCCACCGCAUGGUGGGUGUUGGAAAGAUUUAUCGGUUUUGGAUGGACUCGCGGCCUAUCAGCUUGUUGGUGAGGUAAUGGCUCACCAAGGCGACGACGGGUAGCCGGCCUGAGAGGGUGACCGGCCACACGGGGACUGAGACACGGCCCAGACUCCUACGGGAGGCAGCAGUGGGGAAUAUUGCACAAUGGGAGCAAGCCUGAUGCAGCGACGCCGCGUGAGGGAUGACGGCCUUCGGGUUGUAAACCUCUUUCAGUAGGGAAGAAGCGAAAGUGACGGUACCUGCAGAAGAAGCACCGGCUAACUAUGUG